RNAcentral lists this long non-coding RNA (1187 nucleotides) under Homo sapiens (human). RNAcentral's name for it is "PREDICTED lncRNA (TCONS_00028537)". Lineage: Eukaryota; Metazoa; Chordata; Mammalia; Primates; Hominidae. The record is from RNAcentral.
GGAGGCGCGGUCCUUCCAGCCUCUUGCUCCUGUGAAUCACAGGUCGGCGGGAGCCUUUUUUCCUUUUUUUUUUUUUCCCGGGGAGUCGGCCUCGGGGCUCUGCUCUCCUACCUCAGUCUGCCCUACCCUGGAAUGGGGAAAAUGCGGACAUGCCACUCAGUCCGGCCGCGAACAGUGCUCCAGAACUCAGAGAGUUUUCCAGACGGGUGGAGAUCGCGUUCCCUGCCCGCCGAGGUCCCAUCGCUUCCCUGCUGGGAAGACAAAUGAGGCGCUUUAGCCGUCUCCACGGCCAGCCCCUCCCUCAUAACCCGAGAUUCUUUGUGGGCUCUUAGUCCAUAGCUGCCUUUGAGGUGGUGUAGACCUUGCUAACCAGGACGGCCCAGUAGGCAGAGCUCAUUUUUAUUCCUGUCUGCAAUCGUGCAAAAACGCCUCUUAUGGAAAAGCCAGAGCGCCAGGAGUCAGCAAAACACACUAAAGAUUGGGCAGUCACUGGGGAGAACAUGGCCUGAAGCAACUGAAGAUCCACAAAAGAAGUGAAAAUAGCCUUAACUGAUGACAUUCCACCAUUGAGAUUUGUUCCUGCCCCACCCUAACUGAUACGAUAUAUUCUCCCCCGCCCUUAAGAAGACUCAGCCCGCCUGCACCCAGGUGAAAUAUACAGCCUUGUUGCUCACACAAAGCCUGUUUGGUGGUUUCUUCACACGGAUGCAUGUGACAUUUGGUGCUGAAGACCCAGGACAGGAGGACUCCUUUGGGAGACCAGUGCCCUGUUGUCGCCCUCACUCCGUGAGGAGAUCCACCUAUGAUCUCAGGUCCUCAGACCAACCAGCCCAAGGAACAUCUUGCCAAUUUCAAAUCGGAAGAUAGGAGUGUCAGGCCUCUGAGUCCAAGCUAAGCCAUCAAAUCCCCUGUGACCUGCACGUGUACAUCCAGAUGACCUGAAGCAACUGAAGAUCCACAAAAGAAGUGAAAGUAGCCUUAACUGAUGACAUUCCACCAUUGUGAUUUGUUCCUGCCCCACGCUAACUGAUACCAUAUAUUCUUCCCCCGCCCUUGAGAAUGUACUUUGUACACCUAUCCCAAACCUAUAAGAACUAAUGAUAAUCCUACCACCCUUUGCUGACUCUCUUUUUGGACUCAGCCCGCCUGCACCCAGGUGAAAUAAACAGCCCUGUUGCUCACACAAA